This 450-nucleotide ribosomal RNA is filed under the name uncultured bacterium. RNAcentral describes it as "partial 16S ribosomal RNA". It matches the Rfam family "Bacterial small subunit ribosomal RNA", at positions 354 to 796 of the family's 1533-position model. The record is from RNAcentral.
GUGGGGAAUAUUGGACAAUGGGCGAAAGCCUGAUCCAGCCAUGCCGCGUGUGUGAAGAAGGUCUUCGGAUUGUAAAGCACUUUAAGUUGGGAGGAAGGGCAGUAAGUUAAUACCUUGCUGUUUUGACGUUACCAACAGAAUAAGCACCGGCUAACUUCGUGCCAGCAGCCGCGGUAAUACGAAGGGUGCAAGCGUUAAUCGGAAUUACUGGGCGUAAAGCGCGCGUAGGUGGUUCAGCAAGUUGGAUGUGACAGCCCCGGGCUCAACCUGGGAAUUGCAUCCAAAACUACUGAGCUAGAGUACGGUAGAGGGUGGUGGAAUUUCAUGUGUAGCGGUGAAAUGCGUAGAUAUAGGAAGGAACACCAGUGGCGAAGGCGACCACCUGGACUGAUACUGACACUGAGGUGCGAAAGCGUGGGGAGCAAACAGGAUUAGAUACCCGAGUAGUCC